Molecule: long non-coding RNA, 521 nt
Filed under: Pogona vitticeps (central bearded dragon)
Lineage: Eukaryota; Metazoa; Chordata; Lepidosauria; Squamata; Agamidae
Description: lncRNA (ENSPVIG00000001985.1)
Source: RNAcentral
AAAUCGCAUCGGCUGCCGGGUAAAGAGCAGCCGCUCCAGGCAGCCCCCGGGAGAAACUCGCGCAAUGGAUGGAUGGAUGGAUGGACGGACGGAUGGAUGGGCUGGCAAGCGAAUCCAGAGGAAAUCCGGAGCUGGCCAGGCCCUUUGGAGUCCAGCAUCCCCGCCUGGAUUUGGGAUCACGACUCAACGGCGCUUCUGGCUUGGAUUCUCCUCCUCCUCCUCCUCUUCCUCCUCCUCUUCCUUCCUUUCGUCUGGCCCGCGGAACGUACAGUUGUGGAUUUAUUGUCGCGGUGCGUGCAAGAGCCAAUCUCCUCGCCGCCGCCGCCACCGCCGCCGCCGCCAGCACCACCGCCAGCAGCGCCACCAGCACCGCCAGCAGCUUUCUGACUCUCUUCGGUGACGGGUUACAAGCAUUUGUCCAAUUCCGCUUUGCCUUCUUUAUUCCCCCCCCCCCCGCGCGCGCUUUGGAGAAGAGACGGGGGAACAGAGAUGCGCGUUCAAUGGAACAAAGCAAAACUUGA